This 1771-nucleotide long non-coding RNA is filed under the name Homo sapiens (human). Its description in RNAcentral is "Prader-Willi region non-protein coding RNA 1". Lineage: Eukaryota; Metazoa; Chordata; Mammalia; Primates; Hominidae. The record is from RNAcentral.
GGCAGUUCAGGGGGUAUUCUGGUUGCCUUACCCAGCUCUGAAGUCUGUCAGCCUCUUCAGAUGUCACUUGCCCUGUGGUAAGGAAGUGUAGUUGGCAGCUGGUGCAGUGGCAAGAAGAGAAAGGAAGUUCCCCAAGACAGAAACAUCUCAGCAGACUCCAUCAUGAAUUCAUGGCACCACACAGUCCCCUGAUGCUAUAACAUCAUGGAUUUCUUUUGUCCAGUGAGAGGCCCAAAAGCUGCAGCACAGACAAUAUCAUAGUGUAGAAGUUUAACUAGACCGUGAUCAUGGGCUACAUUCUCCAUACCAGCUUCAUAGCUCCAGUGAGAAAAUAAAUUCCUGCACCCAGGAGACGUGGAGUAAGAGAUACAGCUGCCCUUGACCAUAUUUCUUACUUCCGAGAAGAUUGUAGCAGUAAUUCAGGUGAGGUUCACGGGCACCAUCGCAGGCUCUACCUGACACAGCAAGUAUUCUCCAGUCUGCAGAUUUCUCAGUCUUCACUUAUUUUUUGUGAACUUGACUUUUUUGAAAAGUACAGAAUCUCAUCCAGGAUACCUCAUCACAGUGUCUCACUCUCUCGCCCAGGCUGGAGUGCAGUGUCAUGAGCUUGGCUCACUACAGCCUCCAUCUUCUGUGCUUAAGGAUCCUUCCCUCUCAGCCUCCAGGGUAGCUGAGACUGCAGGUUUAGAAUAGUUCACCAGUGAAGUCAUCUCAACCAGCACAGGGCCUUGACUCCUAACAACAAUCACACGAACUUGGAAGAGGAGCCUUCCCCAACUGAACCUUCGCUUGAGACCUCGUCCUUGGCCAUCCUCUACAUCUGGAUUCAUGAUACAGAGAAACUUGAGUAAUGAUGACACUAGCAGUCCAGCCUGCAUGGAUGCUGACAUGGAUGCUGUCUCCCAUUCUUACCACUGGAUGGGAAGAAAUGCUAGAUGCAAUCCAGCCAGUCUGUACUCGACUGUCAGUUCCAUCUUCUCAACUCACAGUGUCUUCCAAAGUCCGUGCCACACCACAGCCUGGAACAUCUCCCAAGGUUUCAAAUAAUUCAUCAGUGAAUUCUUCUCAACCUGGUCAAUCAUGUGAACUUAGAAGAUGAUUCCUCCCCAGCUGAUCCUCAGGGAACACUAAGACCCAUUCUUCUUCUCAAGUAUCCAAAAAUAAAGUUGAUCCAAGUAAGAAGUGGACAGCAUAAAAGAUUGUAUGGAAGCUAUAAUGCAUCUACAUCUGCAGUAACUAAUCAUAAAAUGAUUUGUAUGAUCAUUCUUCACAUGAUUAGAAUUACUAUGGGAAAGAAGAAAAAGAAAUGCCUCUCUGGAUGGUGACUAUAACCUAUAGCCUUGCCCAAUAUGACUCAGGAUUUGGUACUGGCUGUGCCUUUCAUGGGAUGCUUACUUAUCCUGGUCGAUGGCCUAAAGCCCAACCGUCCAGCUUAUAUCCAGGGUCUCAAGCCACCCAGGCUGGAGUGCAGUGGCACAAUUAUGGCUCACUGUAGCCUCACCUUCCUGGGAUCAAGCAAUCUUCUUUCUUCAGCCUCCAGAGGAGCUGGGACCACAGAUCCUUUGGCAUUUGAGAGUUGCUUUGUGUAUACGGUCCUUUAACGGAGCAAAUGGCCAGCCAGGAAACCAAAGUAUGGACAAGGGGAAAGAAGCGUCUGUGGAGGAAGUUUUACAAGCGCCCUCCUCAUCCAUUUGGGUGGUGUUGCCCAUAUGCUACAUGUCUGUGGACCACUAUGUGUGUUUAAAGCUUUUUAGUAAAACGUUACUAAAAA